This 226-nucleotide long non-coding RNA is filed under the name Citrus maxima (pomelo). RNAcentral's name for it is "long non-coding RNA (CMAX_LNC002401)". Lineage: Eukaryota; Viridiplantae; Streptophyta; Magnoliopsida; Sapindales; Rutaceae. The record is from RNAcentral.
CCCAACAAGAUCGUUGCUAUUAAUUAAAUUGUAAAUUUUUAAUUAAUUGAUUGACAAUUAUUCAAUUAUUUGAAGUGGGUUUGUUGUUGUUGAUUGAUAAUUGAACAAAUGGAGAUUGUUAUUAGUUAAAUUGGAGUGCGUUUAUUGAUAAUUGAACAAUUGGAGAGUGGAGACGGUUAUUGAUUAAAUUGGAGCGGGUUUGCUGCUGCUGUUAUUAUUAAUUAAA